ACGUACACUCCUGCGGGAGGCAGCAGUGGGGAAUAUUGCACAAUGGGCGCAAGCCUGAUGCAGCCAUGCCGCGUGUAUGAAGAAGGCUUUCGGGUUGUAAAGUACUUUCAGCGGGGAGGAAGGCAAUACGGUUAAUAACCGUAUUGAUUGACGUUACCCGCAGAAGAAGCACCGGCUAACUCCGUGCCAGCAGCCGCGGUAAUACGGAGGGUGCAAGCGUUAAUCGGAAUUACUGGGCGUAAAGCGCACGCAGGCGGUCUGUCAAGUCGGAUGUGAAAUCCCCGGGCUCAACCUGGGAACUGCAUUCGAAACUGGCAGGCUUGAGUCUUGUAGAGGGGGGUAGAAUUCCAGGUGUAGCGGUGAAAUGCGUAGAGAUCUGGAGGAAUACCGGUGGCGAAGGCGGCCCCCUGGACAAAGACUGACGCUCAGGUGCGAAAGCGUGGGGAGCAAACAGGAUUAGAUACCCCUGUAGUCCCAUG
This 479-nucleotide ribosomal RNA is filed under the name uncultured organism. Its description in RNAcentral is "partial 16S ribosomal RNA". It matches the Rfam family "Bacterial small subunit ribosomal RNA", at positions 329 to 799 of the family's 1533-position model. The record is from RNAcentral.